This 253-nucleotide ribosomal RNA is filed under the name uncultured bacterium. Its description in RNAcentral is "partial 16S ribosomal RNA". It matches the Rfam family "Bacterial small subunit ribosomal RNA", at positions 524 to 776 of the family's 1533-position model. The record is from RNAcentral.
UACAGAGGUCUCAAGCGUUGUUCGGAUUCAUUGGGCGUAAAGGGUGCGUAGGUGGCGCGCUAAGUCAGGUGUGAAAUUUCGGAGCUUAACUCCGAAACUGCAUUUGAUACUGGUGUGCUUGAGGACUGGAGAGGAGACUGGAAUUCAUGGUGUAGCAGUGAAAUGCGUAGAGAUCAUGAGGAAGACCAGUGGCGAAGGCGGGUCUCUGGACAGUUCCUGACACUGAGACACGAAGGCCAGGGGAGCAAACAGG